Non-coding RNA from Plectosphaerella plurivora, 111 nucleotides. Lineage: Eukaryota; Fungi; Ascomycota; Sordariomycetes; Glomerellales; Plectosphaerellaceae. The record is from the annotation of a GenBank genome assembly.
GUCACGGUGGCCGAGUGGUUAAGGCGGCAGACUCAAGAAUUUGGUUCUUGGCCCUCAUUUAGAGUGCUUCUGUUGGAGAGAUCCGCGCGCGUUCAAAUCGCGUCCGUGACA